This 98-nucleotide Y RNA is filed under the name Saimiri boliviensis boliviensis (Bolivian squirrel monkey). RNAcentral describes it as "Y RNA (ENSSBOG00000000557.1)". It matches the Rfam family "Y RNA". Rfam says of the family: Y RNAs are components of the Ro ribonucleoprotein particle (Ro RNP), in association with Ro60 and La proteins. The Y RNAs and Ro60 and La proteins are well conserved, but the function of the Ro RNP is not known. The record is from Rfam by way of RNAcentral. Lineage: Eukaryota; Metazoa; Chordata; Mammalia; Primates; Cebidae.
GGCUGGUCAGAGUGCAGCAGGAUUUACAAUUAAUCGAUCACAAUCAGUUACAGAUUUGUUCCUUCUCCACUCCCACUGCUUCACUUGACUAGCCUUAA